This is a long non-coding RNA of Mytilus californianus (California mussel), 224 nucleotides long. RefSeq lists it as uncharacterized. Lineage: Eukaryota; Metazoa; Mollusca; Bivalvia; Mytilida; Mytilidae. The transcript is spliced from 2 exons. The record is from RefSeq and is a predicted model, not a curated record.
GAGGGACGAAAGAUACCAGAGGGACAGUCAAACUCAUAGAUCGAAAACAAACUGACAACGCCAUGGCCAAAAAUAAAAAAAACCAAACAGACAAAUAAUAGUACAGAUGACACAACAUAGAAAACUAAAGACUAAGCAACACGAACCCCACCAAAAACUGGGGGUGAUCUCAGGUGCUCCGGAAGGGUAAGCAGAUCCUGCUCCACAUGUGGCACCCGUCGUGU